UGGCCAUUUGAAAAGAAAACAAAACAGAUCCUAAAGCCCCUUUUCUUCCCUUCUCAUUCGGCCGAAUCAAGAGGCGCCCUUGGACUGCCGUUUGGCCUCCAUGUUUAGCCGCCGGUCAUCACGCUAAAGCCUAAUCAGGCUCUGUCCAAUCACGAAUCCAAGGCUACGCUCAAAGAUCUCAGAAUCAACACCCAAACUCCGAUUGCAACGAAGCCAGUGAGGAUUCGAGGGAACCAAAAACGAAGGUACGGAGUGCGUGCUUGGCGUACGAGGGUUGUGCUGGCGUACGGAGGCCAGGGUUGGCGUGGAUGGAGGCGCUGGGGGGCUCGGACUGCUGCGGCGCAAGUAGACAGCUAGGGCUCUGUCUAAUUUUAAUAUUUUGGGCCUAUUGGGCCUUGUAAGUGUGGGUUAGGUUUAAUUGUUGGGCUAGGGGUUAUGUAGCUGGUUUGGGGCUGUUAGUUUGGGCUAUUGGUUUUUAUAAUUGGACUGUGUUAUUAUUAUUAUUAUUUAUUUA
This is a long non-coding RNA of Gossypium arboreum, 514 nucleotides long. RefSeq lists it as uncharacterized. Lineage: Eukaryota; Viridiplantae; Streptophyta; Magnoliopsida; Malvales; Malvaceae. The record is from RefSeq and is a predicted model, not a curated record. The transcript has 2 exons.